CAUCUUCAUCUUCUCUCAAUCACCAGAAGUUCUUCAACUCUAGUCCACCAUUUGCGGCCAGCGAGAAGGUCAAUACGCCUUCAAAGUUCAACCACGCCACCGUCAUUCAUCCCCCGAGCCCAAUUCGACCUCUAUGUCUUAUCAAAUCCCCACCAAAUCGGGCCAGUUUUAAUCAGAAGUUGAAGGGGAGAAAUCUCUCAGUAUAUUCGAGUUCAUAGGGAAUUAUUAGGCCUGAGAUCGAUAUUGUUUGUUCGUUUUCAAGAAGAACCUGCGACCAAUAUCGAUCUCGGGUCGAAUCGGAGAUGCCGGAGUUUUGAUUCGAAGUCUGAAUUCAAUAAGCUUUCUUUUUUUAGUUUUCAUUUGAUUCGUCGUUUUGUUUAGUUCAAUCGAGCAUAAAUUAAAGUUGAGUUCACCUUUGUGAUUGUUAAAUCGAUAAGUUAAUUCGUCUUAGUCCAGUCCUUAGUCUUUCGUUUAAAUUCUGAUUGGUUUUUGAUUCAUUGUUAGUUUGAAUGCUCCAUCGUUAAUUAGUUGUUAGAUUACUUAAUCUUCUAAUUUCUUUUCAAUAAGAUACUGAUUUGAAACUUUUCUUCGAUUUUGGCUGUUGGCCUUCUGGAUUGAUUUUUGGUCGUUUGUUUUUUUUGUGAGAUUGGUUAUAGCUGAUUAGAUAACCUUAGUUAGUUUUAACUUGGGUAAAAGGGUUAGGUUUAACCGAGGUUGGGAAGGUCAUUAAUUUCAGGGGUAUUUAAGGGUGCUUUGGGUAGUUUAAGUGGGGCAAUCUUUCCUCUAACUGAAAGAGGAAGCUUUCAGUAGGGACUAAGGAUCAAUUUCAGGUUUUGAAUGGAUAAACUAGGGAUUCAAGUCAAGAUUAGGAGGACUAAAUAGAAAAAAAGGGAAUAAUUGAGGGUUAAAAGUUCUAAAUAAGUAGGGACUAAAUGGGUAAAUAAACAUGGACUGGAUUGGCAAACAGAAUAGUAAUAGUUUGCCUAUAUAAGGCAGUCAUUUAUGCCUUGAGAGACAAGUUUGGAAGCCUAAAAAAAUUCCCCCAAAUUCUCUUGAUAAGUCUGAGUAGAGUUGAAUUCUCUUUUAGAUCCAAAUUUCUGCACAAAAAAAAACAGAACAAAAAAAAGAAUAUAGAAAACUUCAAAAAAGGUCCAGAACACUAUUCCAUAGAUGAAUCCUUAGGUUAAUUCCGAUUUACAGCCACCAAUUCACAGAUUCUAGUUCAGUUUGAUGGUGUUUGAAAGUUCAGAAGCUGGCUAGGUUUGGUUUCGAAUGGUUUCUGGUCUAUUUGGUGCUUGUGUAGAUAGGUAUAUCGGUGGCAUCUAGUUUUUAAAGCAUUGUUGGAUUAUUGUUGGAUUAUUGUUGUUUUUCUGGGGCUGAGCUGAUUGAUUCUAAGUUGUCAUGAUGCUGCUGCUAAUCAUCUGCCAUAUUGGAUCUCACUUUCUUUCUCAUUUGGCAAUUUCCAGGUAUAUAUACCAUUUGAAUCACACGAUGUAAUGAAUGAUUUUAUGGAGUUGGAAUGGAAUCAUCUGCUGAACUUGCUUGCCUUCUGCUGUAGUUUGGUCCUGUUAAUUUCUGUUUUGUUAAUUGAAUUCCUAACUAAACUAGACUGACCGGACUGUACUAAAUUGAACACUGAACGUGAAUAGGCUAGAUUGUUAAACUCUG
Molecule: long non-coding RNA, 1668 nt
Filed under: Nicotiana benthamiana
Lineage: Eukaryota; Viridiplantae; Streptophyta; Magnoliopsida; Solanales; Solanaceae
Description: long non-coding RNA (NBEN_LNC022468)
Source: RNAcentral